GGCGUGUGACUGCGUACCUUUUGUAUAAUGGGUCAGCGACUUAUAUUCUGUAGCAAGGUUAACCGAAUAGGGGAGCCGAAGGGAAACCGAGUCUUAACUGGGCGUUAAGUUGCAGGGUAUAGACCCGAAACCCGGUGAUCUAGCCAUGGGCAGGUUGAAGGUUGGGUAACACUAACUGGAGGACCGAACCGACUAAUGUUGAAAAAUUAGCGGAUGACUUGUGGCUGGGGGGGAAAGGCCAAUCAAACCGGGAGAUAGCUGGUUCUCCCCGAAAGCUAUUUAGGUAGCGCCUCGUGAAUUCAUCUCCGGGGGUAGAGCACUGUUUCGGCAAGGGGGUCAUCCCGACUUACCAACCCGAUGCAAACUGCGAAUACCGGAGAAUGUUAUCACGGGAGACACACGGCGGGUGCUAACGUCCGUCGUGAAGAGGGAAACAACCCAGACCGCCAGCUAAGGUCCCAAAGUCAUGGUUAAGUGGGAAACGAUGUGGGAAGGCCCAGACAGCCAGGAUGUUGGCUUAGAAGCAGCCAUCAUUUAAAGAAAGCGUAAUAGCUCACUGGUCGAGUCGGCCUGCGCGGAAGAUGUAACGGGGCUAAACCAUGCACCGAAGCUGCGGCAGCGACGCUGAUGCGUUGUUGGGUAGGGGAGCGUUCUGUAAGCCUGCGAAGGUGUGCUGUGAGGCAUGCUGGAGGUAUCAGAAGUGCGAAUGCUGACAUAAGUAACGAUAAAGCGGGUGAAAAGCCCGCUCGCCGGAAGACCAAGGGUUCCUGUCCAACGUUAAUCGGGGCAGGGUGAGUCGACCCCUAAGGCGAGGCCGAAAGGCGUAGUCGAUGGGAAACAGGUUAAUAUUCCUGUACUUGGUGUUACUGCGAAGGGGGGACGGAGAAGGCUAUGUUGGCCGGGCGACGGUUGUCCCGGUUUAAGCGUGUAGGCUGGUUUUCCAGGCAAAUCCGGAAAAUCAAGGCUGAGG
RNAcentral lists this ribosomal RNA (970 nucleotides) under Escherichia coli. RNAcentral's name for it is "bacterial LSU rRNA". It matches the Rfam family "Bacterial large subunit ribosomal RNA", at positions 588 to 1561 of the family's 2925-position model. Lineage: Bacteria; Pseudomonadati; Pseudomonadota; Gammaproteobacteria; Enterobacterales; Enterobacteriaceae. The record is from RNAcentral.